AGAAGAUAUGGUAAUAGAAAUUAUAUAAUGUCUCUCAUAAAUUUUAAUGAAUGAAUAGUGUAGAAAAUAACGGUGAGAAAAUCAAUAUGCGCAGGGAAGCACGGGAAGAGGGGAGCCAUGGAAGCCAUAAAUGCAGUUUUGAGCCAAGUAUUUAAUGACUCUUCUUUCCUCCUUUCCUACUACACUUUCUCACUCUGAGAAGGAUCUCCCCCACUCCCCAGGGAGCAAUCUCAACACAAAACUAUGAUUCAUGCACUUUGAAUCUUAAACGGCUAUGAAAACAUAGCAUCUCUGUCUUCCAACAAAGGAUCCUCGUGAUGAGGAGCUCUUAAAUUUCACGAGUUUCGUAUUCUUUCACUCAGAGCUCAGAAAUGCUACCCAAACCCAGUUUUGAAUUCUCUCCGACUCCUUCAAAUACCCUGCAAUUCGUUCCCAACGUCAUGCAUAAUCUACUUCCAGGCAUCGCUUUGAUCUUAACGUUUCCAUGGAAGCCAAAUCUCACCUUUUCUUUUUAAUUCUUUUGUUCAACUUUGUCUUCCUCCAUGCAAACACUCUCCAAACCUACAUAGUUCAACUCCACCCACAUGGUGUAACUAGAUCUUCCUUUGCUUCCGAGUUUCACUGGCACCUCUCAUUUCUUGAGCAGACCGUUUCGUCUGAAGAAGACUGUUCUUCUCGGCUUAUCUACUCUUACCGUUCUGCCAUGGAAGGUUUUGCAGCUCUGCUUUCUGAAUCAGAGCUUGUGUCAUUGCAGAAGUUGCCUGAUGUUAUUGCAAUUAUGCCAGACAGGAGGCUCCAAAUUCAAACUACCUAUUCUUACAAAUUCUUGGGACUUAAUCCCACGGGUGAAGAUGCUUGGCAUAAGUCUAGAUUUGGUCGUGGAACAAUAAUUGGGGUCCUUGACACUGGAGUUUGGCCGGAGAGUCCAAGCUUCAAUGAUCAAGGAAUGCCACCAGUUCCCAAGAAGUGGAGAGGGAUUUGCCAAGAAGGGCAAGAUUUUAAUUCUUAUAACUGUAACAAGAAACUCAUUGGUGCAAGGUUCUUCAAUAUAGGUCACCGUGUGGCAUCUACUUCAACAUCAUCAAACACUACUCGGGAAUAUUUGUCCCCGAGAGACUCUCAAGGGCAUGGAACUCACACAUCAUCCACAGCAGGAGGAGCUUCAGUUCCAAUGGCAAGUGUGCUUGGUAUUGGAGCUGGUAUUGCACGAGGAAUGGCCCCUGGUGCACACAUUGCAGUUUACAAAGUUUGCUGGUUUAAUGGAUGUUACAGCUCAGAUAUCCUAGCUGCAAUGGAUGUCGCAAUUAGAGAUGGAGUUGAUGUCCUGUCCCUCUCUUUGGGUGGCUUUUCAAUACCACUUUUUGCAGAUAGCAUUGCAAUUGGAAGUUUUCGAGCAGUUGAGCAUGGUAUUUCAGUUAUAUGUGCCGCAGGAAACUAUGGCCCUCUCCAAAACUCAGUUACGAAUGAAGCUCCAUGGAUUGCUACCAUUGGCGCAAGCACACUUGACAGAAAAUUUCCUGCCAUAGUUCGAUUGGGUAAUGGACAAUUCCUUUAUGGAGAAUCCAUGUACCCAGGAAACCAGUUUUCAAACACUAUAAAAGAGCUUGAACUAGUUUAUGUAACUAGUAGAGACGCAGGGAGUGAAUUUUGCUUCAGAGGAUCUCUCCCACCAGCAAAAGUACGUGGCAAAAUGGUGGUUUGUGACCGAGGUGUCAAUGGAAGGGCAGAAAAAAGUCAAGCUGUGAAGGAAUCUGGUGGAGCUGCAAUGAUCUUAGCCAAUACAGAGAUCAAUCUCGAAGAAGACUCGGUGGACGUUCAUGUCCUGCCUGCAACAUUAAUUGGUUUUGCAGAAUCAGUAAGCUUGAAAGCUUACGUUAACUCUACAAGUAAACCAAGAGCUCAGAUCAUUUUUGGAGGAACUGUAAUUGGGAAAUCCAGAGCACCAGCAGUAGCUCAGUUUUCAGCUAGAGGACCAAGUUUAACUAACCCUUCAAUCCUCAAACCAGAUAUAAUUGCACCUGGGGUAAACAUCAUUGCAGCUUGGCCUCAAAACCUAGGCCCCACUGGUCUUCCAGAAGAUCCAAGAAGAGUGAAUUUCACAGUAAUGUCAGGGACAUCCAUGGCUUGUCCCCAUGUCAGUGGAAUUGCUGCCCUGAUCCGCUCAGCUCAUCCCAAAUGGACCCCUGCUGCAGUUAAAUCUGCAAUAAUGACUACUGCAGAUAUAACUGACCAUUCUGGAAAUCAAAUAAUGGACGGUAACAAACCAGCAGAAGUUUUUGCGAUUGGAGCCGGGCAGGUAAACCCUGAAAGAGCCAUCAAUCCAGGAUUGAUAUAUGAUAUUAGGCCAGAGGAGUAUGUCACCCACCUAUGCACACUAGGAUACACUAGAUCAGAAAUUUUCACAAUCACACACAGGAAUGUGAGCUGCAAUGAACUAUUGCAGAUGAAUGAGGGUUUCAGCCUCAAUUAUCCUUCCAUUUCUGUAAUUUUCAAGCAUGGAAUGACAAGAGAGAUGAUCAAGAGACGACUAAAAAAUGUGGGGAGUCCUAAUUCCAUCUACUCGGUGGAAGUAACAGCUCCCGUGGGAGUCAAAGUGAGAGUAAAACCUCGAAGGCUAGUUUUCAGACACAUAAAUCAAAGUUUGAGCUAUAGAGUAUGGUUCAUAUCAAGGAAGACAAUAGUAAGAGAGAAAGAGAGCUUUGCACAAGGGCAUUUGACAUGGGUGCACUCUCAAAAUAAUCUUUCCAGGGUUAGAAGCCCCGUUUCAGUGACUUGGAAGUACAAGUAGAAGAAGUUAUAAUAUCACUGAUUGCUGUGAACUAGAUGGUUUAGGAUUUAGUUCACUAUUAGUAUUGCAUAAGAGGAUUUCUGGUCAUGAAGAUUUGUUGGUGGAAUUUAUAUUUGAUUACAGCAGUUUACUUUGUGAUAUUAAAUUUCUAAUUUAAGAUGGUUGAAAUCAGAAAUUGGUUGCUCAAUUAUAAAACUCUCCAAGGCAUUCAUGAAUUGGCAUACUGCAAGAAAAACAAAUCAAGCAUAAAUUAACUAACUUCUCCAUCAAUUUGUUUAUCCACUAAAUAGAACAAAAUACUAACAUAAACAACAUGGAGUACAAUCAGCAGUAAGCAAACAUGCAAUAUAUUAGAGCUCUAAUACUUAAUUAAUAAAAGAAAAAAAAGUUCAGAAAGUGCCAUUAGCAGAGUAGCGAAAUAUGAAGUGCUGCAGCUGAGUAACUAUAGUCCAUAUUGAUCGGCUAUUGAACCUUUCUUAUACAUUAAACAAGAGAACUGAUGUAGGAAGAAACAAGUUCUAUGACAUGUGCUGUCUCACUUGUACAUUUAAAUAAUGGAGGAGAAUGGAAAAUGUGCAUCACCAUGAACUGCAAAAUUUGUUAAGAAAGAAGAGGAAUAUGGUAGCUGUAAGCAUCUACAUGGACAUUAACCAAGAUCUUCAAGUCUUCUUGAUUAAUUUAAACAAAACAAAUGAGGUGACAAGUGCAAAACAGAAGGAAUGGAUAUACAUUGCCUCAACUUUUGACGAAUUGCAGGCCAUUUGCAUUAGCAUAUCGCUCCAUGAAUCUCAUGAAUCUGUCCCAAUCCCGAGGAGAACGCAUGACAUAUUUUGCCUCAAUUCGGGAUGGUUUUCCAUUUACAUAUUUUGCACUAACAUCAACUGAUUGGAGAACGCCUUCCUCAUCAAUCAUGUAAAAGCCAGUUAUAUCACCAAGUUCACCAGAAGAGUCAAAUACAGAUGGCUGAUCAAAGGUGAAAAUGGCCACACCAUUUGUACCAUCCCUUGACUUGGUUAGUCUUACAUCCGGUAUUGUCUGUUCAUCAGUUCCUUGGAUAAAUUGAAUUGUUGGUUUGACCAUCAUUGUAAUAAAUCUUGCUGUUUUCCACCUAACAGAAGCCAACUGUGGAUGGGACAGGUGCAAAGAUUGGCCAUUGAAUGCGGACUUUGCAAAACGUUGGACAGCCCAAGAUACCGAGCCUACAAAACAAGACGGGCAUUGCAGGUGUUGUAGAUAGCAGGUUAGAUUGGUAAUCAAUGGCAGAACAAUUUAUUCUACUUGUUUGACUACAUGCAAGGCUCUUGCAUUGCUCAGUUGCACAAAUGUGUCACACAGCCACCGAAAAAAGCAAGAAGCAGACAAAAACUGGGUGAAUUAUUAACCAUACAAGUGGCAUAAAUCAUUAGGUCCUGCGUUACCUAAAAGUGAUUUAUGGUAUGUAGUUAACUUAAAGCUCUAUAUCUUUAUCCACAGAAUUUAUUUAAUUGGAAUAGGUUUGUUUUUAUUUAAAGUUUCCUAUUUAAGUUGCACUCUACUAAUUAAAAUUUUAAAUUUAAACUAAUUUUAAUUGGCUAAAAUUUAUAGAAAAAUAUUAAACAUCCAAUAAAUAUAUUUAUCUUUGCUCAAAAAAGCCAGCAUCAAAGCUAAUAAAUCUACUAUAAAAGCUUUGAACUCUCAGAUGGAAGAACAUAUCUUCUCAUAGGCCUGCACAACAUUGGUUUGAGAAACAUGAAAAGACAAAAGCUUUGCAGCCUAUUACUCAACUAAUUUCUACUCUUAUUUAUAUAUAUAUAAGUUCUAACCAUCCGAAUUAGUAUAAUCCACUAUAUUGCAACCCCAAAUACCGUUCCAAUUAAGCCUACCCCUACGUACUCGUACCUAGGAAAGUACCAUAUCUAACAGUUGAACGAAUCAAAGCGAACUACAAACUAGGUAACACUGGUUAGGUCCUUAUUAAUAACUAGUUCCUUAAUUUGGGAUUAGCUAGCGUCUAGUCAUGUUAUUUUCACAAAACAUAAACUUGUACAUCAGACAUGGAAAAGAAUAAACAAAUAACUGCCAUUUUCUUUAAGGCUUGAAAUCCCAAAUGCUUCCCUGGCCUAAUUAAUAACAAUUCUGGAAUUCUAAAUUCUCCCCUAUGUCUGAUAAAGGAAUCUUGCCAGGAAUUUACUUGGGUUGGGUUUGUAUUGCCACAUUUUCCAUGUUAUAUGAGGAACACAAUCCAAUUGACACUGACUGAUCAAAGUGUCAGGUUUGAAAAACGACCGUACGGAAAAGGCAACCAAGACAAUUCUCUCACAAAAAAUCCCAACUUUCCAGGACUAAACGUUCUCACUAUCUGCAUCAACCCACGCCAAAGACCAGCGACUCACUGGUAUAAAGUUUUCCCACCAACAUUAGUCCGUCAAGCAAUAAACAUGAGAAGAAAAAAAAAAGGAAGGAAAUUUACAUGUGAUUGAAGAACUCAACAACGUUAAAAAGAUUAGAUUACAACCAAAAUGUAACAAUUUUGAAGAAUCCAUAUGUAAUUAUCAACAAUUUAACCAUGAUUAGAGAUAAAGUCCCAUCGACAAUAAAAAAGCAAAAGCACCCAGUUGGUGUACAUUUGGGGGAAGAGAGAGUAC
RNAcentral lists this unclassified non-coding RNA (5412 nucleotides) under Hevea brasiliensis (rubber tree). The record is from RNAcentral. Lineage: Eukaryota; Viridiplantae; Streptophyta; Magnoliopsida; Malpighiales; Euphorbiaceae.